Molecule: ribosomal RNA, 492 nt
Filed under: uncultured bacterium
Lineage: Bacteria
Description: partial 16S ribosomal RNA
Rfam family: Bacterial small subunit ribosomal RNA
Source: RNAcentral
AGUGAACGCUGGCGGUAGGCCUAACACAUGCAAGUCGAACGGCAGCACAGUAAGAGCUUGCUCUUACGGGUGGCGAGUGGCGGACGGGUGAGGAAUACAUCGGAAUCUACUUUUUCGUGGGGGAUAACGUAGGGAAACUUACGCUAAUACCGCAUACGACCUACGGGUGAAAGCAGGGGAUCUUCGGACCUUGCGCGAUUGAAUGAGCCGAUGUCGGAUUAGCUAGUUGGCGGGGUAAAGGCCCACCAAGGCGACGAUCCGUAGCUGGUCUGGGAGGAUGAUCAGCCACACUGGAACUGAGACACGGUCCAGACUCCUACGGGAGGCAGCAGUGGGGAAUAUUGGACAAUGGGCGCAAGCCUGAUCCAGCCAUACCGCGUGGGUGAAGAAGGCCUUCGGGUUGUAAAGCCCUUUUGUUGGGAAAGAAAAGCAGCAGGUUAAUACCCCGCUGUUCUGACGGUACCCAAAGAGUAAGCACCGGCUAACUUCGUG